Molecule: long non-coding RNA, 3211 nt
Organism: Ictalurus punctatus (channel catfish)
Lineage: Eukaryota; Metazoa; Chordata; Actinopteri; Siluriformes; Ictaluridae
Source: Ensembl
GCUGUGUCACAGAUAGGAGGUUUUAAGAAUAUAACACAAAAGUAAGACAAAUCUCAAAGGUUUAUUGUAUAAAUAACGUACCACUUGGCAAAGACUGUGUACCAGUUUGACCCGCUGUGCCAGUGUUUUGAAAGAUUAUUUAGCAGGAUUGGCACUGUUUUCAAAGCAAGGGAAGGUGUAACUAAGGGUUAAGGAAGAAAUGACAUGUUACUAAUAUUUACAUAUGAUAUAAAUGGGCUGGUUCACUCAACUUCAGGAGGCUGUGAAGAGAGAAAAGCAGCAUAACAAGAAUUACUUUCUCAAGCAAGACUUCCUCAGUCUUUUGAGUCGCGUGAAGUGCUGUUUAACACACUGAAUAUUUCAGAAGAAUUCAAGUUUUUACAGACGACCUGACUGAAAGCUCUGUUCACCAGAUGUAGGCAGCAGAUGAUUCAUCCAAUUUCUCAUCAUCCAAUAAAUCAGUCCCAAACAUUAAAGAUCAGUGAGCCCACACACCUUUUGAGGUAAAUAGAUACAUUUAAGCCAUUCUACAUUUUUUUAAUUCUUGAAAUGUUCACAUUUUCAGAACCCAAAUCAUGUACAAUCAUGACACUGUGUUAGAAUAUAGAUUUGAAACAGUCUGUGUUGUUAAAAGCAUCCUUCUCAGGUUGAUUACAAUGAGUUAGUUGAAAUUACAUGUACUUCCUUUUUAUUGAGUUUUAAAUGAGGAAAUAAACUUUAAAAAACAAACAAAAAAAAGAAAAAAAAAAAAGCAACAGGCAUUUUUAACAAUCAAGUUAUUAGACAAAUAAGGUUUUAAACAUCAGUAUAAUAUAACUGUAUGUGACGGGGUCCAAGCACCCUCUCAAACAGCGCCCUCAACGGUCUAUCCUGGCCAAGUUACAUUGAGCACUCUAAAUCAGGGAUGUUAAACCCACUUUAGGUAAUGAGCCACAUUACACUUAAUCCAAUGACAGAUGGGCUGGACCAAAAAAAACCCCAAACAGUUUAGUGACCAAUAACAUAUAAAUUUUGCAAAGUGUUCACUCACUUGAACAUUCCGCAUUUUGUAGUGUAGUAAUCUUUAUAAACUUAACAACGUCACAAAUCCACAAAAAAUAAAGCCCAUAAUAGUGAUGUGUCAAUAUAGUUUUCAAAAUUAUCUAUCCAUUUUCUGUACCGCUUACUCUACACAGGGUCUUGGGGUGUCUUGAGCCUGUCACAGAGGACUUUAGUGGGGGAGCCGGCAGUUUCCAAAAUUAUUUACCUAUAAAAACAUAAAAAGUGUGAUUGCAUAAGUAUUCACCCCAUUGAAAUGAAACCUCUAAAUUUAUUUGGAAAGAAUUUUUUUUCAGUAGCUGAGUUCAUGGCCCCAAGUUUAUUGCUUUUAUUUCCUCUGUAGUUAUAUAUAUCAGAGAACAACUCUUUUUUUCUUUUAUUUUCAAAUCUUUGGCUCACAGUUCACAGUUUAGAUUGACGAUCCUAAAUUUAUUUUAUGGGCCGGAUUAUUGGACCAGUCAUGCCCAGCGGGCUGUAUAUUUUGAUACUUCUUGUAUAACUAUCAUAAUAUAUAGUUUUAUACAAUAAUAAUGAUUGGGUGAGUCACCUCACAGCACCUCACAGUUCCAGGAUUCUGGGUUUGAUCCUCAUCUUGGGUUACUGUCUGUGUGCUGUUUCGUAUGUUCUCCCUGUGUUCGUGUGGGUUUCGUCCAGGUUCUCUUGUUUCCUCCCACUGUUGACCAAGAUGCAGGUAGGUGAAUUGGUUACACUAAAAUUGCCAAUAGGUGUGAACGAGUAUGUGGGUCCACCGCAACCCUGAUCAUGAAAAAGCAGUUAGUGAAAAUGAAUAAGUAUUAUUAUAAUAGAUGGUAGUAGAUAGAUAGAUAGAUAGAUAGAUAGAUAGAUAGAUAGAUAGCGUGAUUGAAAAAUAGCAAUUACAUGGCAGACCCCACUUGAGAACCAUUCAGCUACAUGAACAAACCGCUAGUUAUUAUGAUGGGGAGAGAGAGAGAGAGAGAGAGAGAGAGAGAGAGAGAGAGAGAGAGAGAGAGAGAGAGAGAGAGCGCUCGUAUUUAACACAUGGUGAGCUGCUGCCCUCUUUGGAAAUGACUGAAUAUUGCACCUGGAUUACACACUGAUCCAAUUUUUAUUCUCGUUCAAUUUAUUUUUAGAAUCAUAAAUACUGCAAAAUCGUGCAAAUUUCACACCCAAAUGCUUAUGUUGAAGGGGCAAGGAGAAAUGUGACACAACAGUAAGGAAUUCUUACAAAGUAUACACCGACAUGUUUCAUUUCUGUCAUUUCUGAACUGUAUGUUUUCUGUUAAAAACAAAACAAAACAAAAAACCCCGAGUAAACUGUAUGUCUUCUCAGUCUCUCACCUGAGUCGGAAGUGGGCAUUUCCGAGAGAAAAACAGAAAAGGAGAAAAGAGACUUUAAAAAAAAAAAAAAAAAAAAAAAAAAAACCCGGAAAUGUUUCGAAACAAACCUCUUACUGGAAACGGUUCAGUCUUCGAGCUGAAAUGACGGUGUCUCGCCCCGCCCACACCAUGACGUCAGAGUCCUACAUUUACAUUCUAAUAAUACACACAUUACGGUAAUUGGACUGCAGCGACUGUAAUUUAGUUUACUCUCGCACUGUGCCAGCUCACACUGCCAGUCGACAUGUUAGCAGCAACAAAAUGAAGUGUUUGGACUGAGUGUUAAAACUUGUUCUAAUGUAAACAGAGCCUUAAAAAAAAGACAAGAAUUGUUUUUAUCUGUCUGAACACAUUAAACAUAUUACUGUCUCAAUUAAAACAAUUAAAACAAACAAAUUAUUCAGUUUUGUCUUGUCUAAAUCAUGUGUGUGUGUGUGUGUGUGUGUGUGUGUGUGUGUGUGUGUGUGUGUGUGUGUGUGUGUGUGUGUGUGUGUGUGUGUGUGUGUCCUCAGGGUGGCAGGACAAGCUCUUGUAUGUGCUACUGACAGGAAAGUGAAAGUAGAGUCUAGUUGGGAAGGGAGACAACAACACACAUACACACGGCAUACACGGAAGGAGCACACACUUCUUAUUUCUCUUACAUGCUUAUAAGAGCUGGCGACAACGAAAGCUGCAGCUUCGCCUCACUAUGGCGCUGUGGAUGCAGAUUUCCCAGAAGCUCCCUUAUUUUACCAAUGAGACCCUGGUGGAGCUCUACCCCACAGAUACUUUCCCCAUAGACGUCAGGCACUACCUGGCGAGCUGGAUCGAGGAG